Molecule: long non-coding RNA, 798 nt
Filed under: Triticum aestivum (bread wheat)
Lineage: Eukaryota; Viridiplantae; Streptophyta; Magnoliopsida; Poales; Poaceae
Description: long non-coding RNA (TAES_LNC010944)
Source: RNAcentral
AUAGGGAAAAAGUAAACAAUGCGGAAAAACACAAAUAAAAUUGAAAAAAAAUGUGAAUUCAAAAAUGUUCACAGACUUUGAAAAAUUUCAUGAAUUUGUAAAAAUAGUUCGUCAAAUUUGAAAGAAAAUUCAUCGAAUUUGCAAAAAGGUCAUCACCAUCUUCACCAACUGAGUCUUUUGUAGGAGUAGAGAUGCGGCUGAGGACACUUGGCGCCAUGCCUUGACUGAAUGUCGGAUGGCCUAGUGUUCAUGGGCGUUGGGAGAUGAAGAAACAUGGAACAUAUGAUCUCUAAUUGUUCGGGCGAUGCCCGGCUAUGUUUGUUCUGUUUGUUUGAACCCAUGAACCAGCAGGAGCUUGCGUGAGUGGUUAUUACCCUAUGGGCCAUCUGGCGGGCUCGAAAGCAGGCAAUUCAGAUGACAAAUUUCAAAGUCCUCUUUCUACAAUGGGUUUCAUCAAUAGUGUAACACCCUCGAUGCGACUAUAUCUCUCACGUGUCGAGGCACGACUUAGAGGCAUAAUCGCAUUGAAGGCAUAUGCCGCAAGUGAGGUAAUCUUCACACAACCCAUGUAAUAUAAUAAGGGAAAGAGAUACAUAGUUGGCUUACAAUCACCACUUCACACAAUUACAUGAAUAAAGCAUUACAUCAACCAAAUACACUCAUGGUCCGACUACGGAACCAAAAUAAAAGAAGAACCCCAAAUGCGACAAAGGUCCCCGAUCGACCCCAACUGGGCUCCACUACUGAUCAACUAGAACGAAACAACACAAAUAAACAAGGUCUUCAACGAGCUCCUCC